AAAACUUUCAACAACGGAUCUCUUGGUUCUGGCAUCGAUGAAGAACGCAGCGAAAUGCGAUAAGUAAUGUGAAUUGCAGAAUUCAGUGAAUCAUCGAAUCUUUGAACGCACAUUGCGCCCCUUGGUAUUCCGAAGGGCAUGCCUGUUCGAGCGUCAUU
Molecule: ribosomal RNA, 158 nt
Filed under: Ramulispora sorghi
Lineage: Eukaryota; Fungi; Ascomycota; Dothideomycetes; Mycosphaerellales; Mycosphaerellaceae
Description: 5.8S ribosomal RNA
Rfam family: 5.8S ribosomal RNA
About the family: 5.8S ribosomal RNA (5.8S rRNA) is a component of the large subunit of the eukaryotic ribosome.
Source: RNAcentral